This 915-nucleotide long non-coding RNA is filed under the name Phascolarctos cinereus (koala). RNAcentral's name for it is "lncRNA (ENSPCIG00000023140.2)". The record is from RNAcentral. Lineage: Eukaryota; Metazoa; Chordata; Mammalia; Diprotodontia; Phascolarctidae.
GCACUCUAUUCACUGUGCCACAUAGCUGCCUGAUAUGCCACAUAACACAUAUAAAGUUGAUAAAAGGCAACAUGUGGUAAGGGUAAACAAAGUGUUCUUGAGGAGAAAUGACUUUUAACUGAGCCUUCAAACUUUUAUAGAGGAAGUGAUGCCUGAGCAGAGCUUUAAAGAAAAAGAUUUUUCAAUAGGAAAAAAAUGAGUGGAAAGGAGAAGAUAAAUAAAAACCCAAAUGUCCCUGGAAGACUUUUCCAGUCCCCUCCAACAGUAACAGCCACCCUCAACCAGGCAGGAUGAUGUCAUCAGCUCCCUCAUAAUGGCUAGGUUGGGGAGUGGAGGAUGACCUAACAGAAGGACUUAUUGUAAGCAAAGCCUCCAAGAGUGAGAUACCCAGGACUACAGGCACAGACAACAGGAGGUACCGGCACUCGCCCCACGGAAAGGAGAGACAGACCAUAAACAGCAGAUUGGGGGACCAAUCCAAUCAAUCUGAACAGGAGACAGUAGAACUCAUGCCUACAAAGAGACCUCGACAUCAUUACACCGGAACAUCAGGAUCGAGAAGGAAAGGCAGGCACAGCACUUCGGUAAGAACUGGUCCUAGAAUGAAGGUCACAGGAUCAUGACAAGGGUUCAGGGGACUUUAAGGAUCAUGUAGGAUAACCGCCCUCAUUUUGCAUAGGAAGAAAAUGAGGUUCCAGGGACAUGAAGAGGUUCAGACUCUCAAUUCAAGGUUCUUUGUGCUAUUAGGAGGAGAGAUGACUUGUCUGCUUCCCCAGGCUGAGAUUAAUUAGUUAGUUGGUGCCAGGAGUUAGAACUACAGGCCCAUCUAACAGAGCCACCAUCUAUAACCACCAAGGUUCUGCCUCUCCUGGCCAUUUUGUUGUGUCAAUAUGAUGAAACAUUCCACAAAUUCUC